GGGCCGCACGCGCGCUACACUGACGGAGCCAGCAAGUACUAUCCUUGGCCGAAAGGUCCGGGUAAUCUCGUGAAACUCCGUCGUGCUGGGGAUAGAGCAUUGAAAUUUUUGCUCUUCAACGAGGAAUUCCUAGUAAGCGCAAGUCACUAGCUUGCGUUGAUUACGUCCC
RNAcentral lists this ribosomal RNA (169 nucleotides) under Kuraishia capsulata. Its description in RNAcentral is "partial 18S ribosomal RNA". It matches the Rfam family "Eukaryotic small subunit ribosomal RNA", at positions 1484 to 1653 of the family's 1831-position model. The record is from RNAcentral. Lineage: Eukaryota; Fungi; Ascomycota; Pichiomycetes; Pichiales; Pichiaceae.